AUGGGGAGGGCGCCUUGCUGCGAGAAGGUGGGGCUGAAGCGAGGAAGGUGGACGGCAAAGGAGGACGACACUCUCGCAAAAUACAUUGCUCGGCACGGCGAGGGCUCAUGGAGGUCUCUGCCCCAGAAUGCGGGGCUACUGAGGUGUGGCAAGAGCUGCAGGCUGCGGUGGGUCAACUACCUGAGGGACGGGGUGAGGAGGGGCAACUUCUCAAACGAGGAAGACGAUCUCAUCGUCAAGCUCCAUGCCACCCUUGGCAACAGAUGGUCGCUGAUCGCCAGUCACCUACCAGGCCGGACUGACAACGAGAUCAAGAAUUACUGGAACGCGCAUCUCAGCCGGCGGAGCCACAGCUUCCGGCACACGCACACCGCCGGCAAGGAAACCACCAUAACCAUCGACAUCAACAAGAUUUCCGCCACUUCGAAGCGGCGAGGCGGUCGGGCACCCAGGAGCAGCAUGAAGAAGCAGCCGGUGCCUGAACCCACCAAGUCAACGGAAAGCUCUAGCCCGGUCCCUGCCAUAUCAUCAUCAACAUCAAGCCUACCUCAGGGCUACUCGGACAAGAACCAGCCCAUCAACAGCAUCCCUAACGAUAUGCCCUGCAGCGACCAUGUAGAUCUGAAUGGUGGUGUCCUGAAGCCCAACUAUGCGAAGGACUCAAUGAAUCAGAUUGGGAUUUUGGAGGAGGAAAGUGAGAUUGAGGGCCUGCUAUCAAGCAUGGACGACAUGCCGGCUAGUGGGCUUAAUGGCCUUCAACAUGGAGGCCACCUUCCUCUGGUGGAGGAUCUCCUGGACAUGGACUGGGAGGGUUUUGCGACCCACCUAUGGGACCAGCCAGCCCAGAGUGAUCAGCUCCAGCCUGCUGAGCCGCAGGCAACAAUGGGCUCCGUGUCGGACGAGCUCGAGUCAUUUGUCCAUUGGCUCCUCUCCGACACGUGCUAA
Molecule: ribosomal RNA, 945 nt
Filed under: Triticum aestivum (bread wheat)
Lineage: Eukaryota; Viridiplantae; Streptophyta; Magnoliopsida; Poales; Poaceae
Description: partial small subunit ribosomal RNA
Source: RNAcentral